This 895-nucleotide long non-coding RNA is filed under the name Cyanistes caeruleus (blue tit). RNAcentral describes it as "lncRNA (ENSCCEG00000001615.1)". Lineage: Eukaryota; Metazoa; Chordata; Aves; Passeriformes; Paridae. The record is from RNAcentral.
GGAGUGGAACUGACCCCACCCGUGACUUUCCGGCUGCGAAGCGGCUCCGGUCCCGUCUAUGUCAGCGGCCAGCACGUGUCCCGUGAGUGUCCCCUGAGUGUCCCCAACUCCCCUCGGGUGUCCCGUGAGUGUCCCCUGAGUGUCCCCAACUCCCCUUGAGUGUCCCGUGAGUGUCCCCUGAGUGUCCCCAACCCUCCCCCGAGUGUCCUGUGAGUCUCCCCCGAGUGUCCCUGUCCCUCCUCGGGUGUCCCCUGAGUGUCCCCCGAGUGUCCCCAACCCUCCCCCGAGUGUCCUGUGAGUCUCCCCGUUCCCCCUCGGGUGUCCCCGAGGUCCGGGGGCUCAGCCGGGCUCUCCCGCCCGCAGUGACAAACUUCAGCUCGGAGGAUGAGGAAGAGGAAGUAGUAGAGGAGACCCCCGAGAAGCCCCCCAAGGCCUCGAGUGCCCGGAAAGGCGGCGCUGCCAAGCAGGAACAGCCUGGCCCGUGAGGAUCCCCUUCCCCCCAAGGGGCGCGGGGCCGGCCGGGGAAGGAAAGCAGCACCGAAGAAAUAAUGGGAAUUCCAUCGGAACCGGGCCAGGUGAGCAUUGGCAUGAGCAAUCCCGGAGCUCGGAGAGCCCUGGGGGGCGGCUCCGUCCCCACCGCGGGUUCUCCAGGCCUUCCCUGCGGGUAAAUCCCAUUUUUCCCUCCUUCCCUUCCAGGUGCGGCCGAGGCUGGAGCAGCAGCAGCAGCCGGUGGUGGUGGUGGUGUGGUUCCCAAAUAAAGCACAUUUUGCACUCCUGGCUCCCCGCGCUGCUGCCGGGGGGGAUUUGGGGGCACCCCCCACCCCGGCUGGAGCUGCUGCCCUGGAUUUGGGGGGGCCAGCGCUGCCCCCCGGCCGUGGGGUGCCGUGAGAAGGGC